Molecule: long non-coding RNA, 2995 nt
Organism: Bos taurus (domestic cattle)
Lineage: Eukaryota; Metazoa; Chordata; Mammalia; Artiodactyla; Bovidae
Source: Ensembl
ACGCAGGCGACGCUUUACGGCAGGGGUGGGGGUCGGGGGGGUCGAAGUCGAGCCUCGCUGGCUCCGGCGCGGAACUGAGGGGACCGGGUCCUUCCCGCUGAAGCAUGGCAUAAGCCACGUUGGUCCCCUCAGCCUCCUUCGUGUCCUUUCCCUGGGGCAACACGGGGUGACGCGGGGCCAGACCGGCACCCCUUCUGGCCGGAGGGACCCUCCCCAUCCUCUAACGUCUGAGCAGCCUGUACCCUGCGUGCAAGCUGACUGUCCUCAUUGAUUUGGGAGGCUGCCUCAUUGUAUACUCAAUUCUGGUAUGUUUUCAGGAACCAGUUUGGUUAUAAAAUCAAAGCAUGUGAUCAACAGCUCGUACAUUAUAUUGGUGUGGACCCAGAGAGCAAGCACAGACGAAGAGCAGACACUGACCUCACAGUUCUGACAGGUUGGCUUCUUACACUUAGUAAUGUGCAUUUAGGAUUCUUCCAAGUACGUUUGCAGCUUGAUAGCUCCUUUCUUUUAUUCCACACUAUAUUUGUUCAUCUAUUCACCGACUCAAGGACAUCUUGGUUGCUUACAAGGUUUGGAAAUUAUGAAAAAAAACUAUAAACAUUUGUGUACAUGUUUCUGUGUGAUUGCCAAACUUCCAAAGUGUGGGAAAUAAAGCCCACUGGCCCAAACCAAAAGAAUGGACUUGGAGACACAAGGUGCAGUGGGAAGCAAGGCUUUAGUGAAGGUCUUGCGAGAUGAGGUGUCUGGUGGGCAGGCACACCCAGGGCAGUUACAACAAGCAAUUUAUUUUCUAGCACACAAGUCCCUUCCCCAGUUUCUCAUUGGCUGAGUACUAUGGGGUAGAUAAAUAUUCUUUCCAGAGGUUGCCUAAGUAUAUUUCCUUCAUUAUGGGCUGGCCCUUUCCUAACAACUUGUUUUCACUUUUGCUCACAUUUACUACUGUUCUUAUGUUUUGAAUUCACCAACAGAAGGAGCCAGCACGAAACCCUGAGCAUCCCACUUUCCCUUUGUUUGAGUGCUAGUAAAUUUUCUUUUUUCCUCAGAGAUAGCUACCCUUCAAAAUAGACCACAUUAAGUUUUCAUUUAUUACAUAGAGUGGUUAGAAUAUUUUGUAUCCCUACUGGCAAUGAAUGAGUUUGUCUUGAUUAACAACUUCAUUAACAUUUGGGGUUGAUGUCAUUUUUUCCAUGAAGUCAGGGGCAUAUUUCACCUUGCUACGACUACCACCAAGAGUCCUCCACCCACACCUCCACAGGGGUACUUUCGUAAAAAUAACCAACACCUCUUUGAAAUUAAGACUGUCAGAAACCUCGGGAGGUAAAAAUGGGCACUUAUUGAAUAUAUAGUAUAUUUAAAAAUUUCCUAAAACUAUGCAGACAUUUAUAGUGAUGAUAGUUACAGCAUCUCUACACCUAUUCCAAAAGGAUUCAUAUAACACAAGUGCACACUUUGUAUGUGUGGUUACAACCUGGAUUUAUUCCAAGUGGCAAAGGCCUUCAACCAAAGCCUAAUUAUUACAGCAUCAAGGGAAUUCUGGCUUCAAACUUGAUCAAUAAUAACCUGACAGAACAUAUCACAUAGUGAUCGCCAGAAAACGUAGGGUCCAGGCCAUGUGGACUCAGAAUCUCCUAGAUUGCUAUGAACAUGGACUACAGAUGGACAGGGUGCUUUAGAUAUCCACAAAGGUAUGACCUUACUGCCAAGGAGAAGCCCCCUAAGGAGGAGACACCUCUUUCUUCAACAAUCCAUUAGAGUGACGCCCCGUUACAGCACUUAAAAGGCGCUUGGGCACAACCAGAGCCUUUUUUCACCAACAUAGGGCGGAGGGAGUGGCCCAGCAGGAGAGGGCAAUAGCAUUUCUGGGAAAUCAGUUCCAUGAAGGGGAAGCGUUUUCAGCAUGGCAUGCAGGCCCUUCCUGUGGAUCCUGCCAGGGGAAGGCCUGUGACGGGAGGAAGUGAGGGUUUCCAGCACUCCGAAGAUCCUGGGCGAACCUGGCGGCCUGCCACCUCACCAGAGCAGGUGUGGGAGCAACAGGUAGUGGUGUUCCGGGGCCUGGCUUCCCCACCAAGGAGCCCCUGGCUGCCAGGCUCUCGGGGGCGUGGUGUUGGCAGUGGCCAUGUUCAGGAACAAGGUGCUGAAGCUCCUGCCCCAGAGCCUCUUGCCUGGGGAUCCUUGCCCUUAUGCAGGAAGGCUGGUUUGAUAGGUUUAAGAGGUCUCAGGUUACUGAAAUAACGCUUCCUUUGCUCAGUCUUAGCAUUAAGAACACACCUCCAUGGCACCAGUAUACACUCGAUUAAAACAGUUCUGAAAGUAAUAUUUGCAGAAGACAAAGGAGUAAAACACAAAGUACACCUGGGAGUACUAUUCCACACCUAUCAGAGCUGUGAAAUUGGCUCCAGUAAAAUACUGGUCUUUCUGGGGUUUGAGUUUAAACUGAAUUCAAGGUUCUUGGAUCAAGGUUGUUGAUAUUUGCAUCCCCCAGGCAGAACUCUUCUGAUCAUUACGGUGAACAACUGUAGCAAUUCAGUAUACCUGAACGUGCUAGUACCAGACACUGACGCAAGGAAUUUCUGUGAGAGUUGUUCCUUGAGAGAGAAGCCUACUGUACAGAAGUGGGUCAAAGAAUCAAAGUGCAACUGAGGGCUGUAUUACCUACCUAUCAAAAAUGUAAAGUCAGUGUCUGGUCUUCGUCUGUUCUUGCACUCUGAGUCCACAGCAAGGCAAUAUAUGAGCUGUUGAUCAUGCCCUUUGAUUAUCUUACCACGACCUGCAAAGCAAAGAAAAUACAGUUGAAUACCUUUGCCUCAAUGCAAAUUACUUUCCUUCAGUAAGAAUUCAGCAUGAAAAGUAUGAUAAGACAAAAAACACUUCAGUCUUUUUCUAGUUCCAUUAAAAACAAAAAAAUCCAGCCAGUCACUACCUAUUCUUAAAAGAAAUAAGCCUAAACAUACAGAUGGUUUGGACUUUGUAGUGCAAACCAUCUGUGAUGUAACCC